This 253-nucleotide ribosomal RNA is filed under the name uncultured bacterium. RNAcentral's name for it is "partial 16S ribosomal RNA". It matches the Rfam family "Bacterial small subunit ribosomal RNA", at positions 524 to 776 of the family's 1533-position model. RNAcentral also lists the same sequence under 1 other name. The record is from RNAcentral.
UACAGAGGGUGCGAGCGUUAAUCGGAAUUAUUGGGCGUAAAGCGCAUGUAGGUGGUUAGAUAAGUUUGAUGUGAAAUCCCCGGGCUUAACCUGGGAAUUGCGUUGAAUACUGUUUGACUAGAGUCGGACAGAGGGUAGUGGAAUUUCCGGUGUAGCGGUGAAAUGCGUAGAGAUCGGAAAGAACACCAGUGGCGAAGGCGGCUACCUGGGUCCAGACUGACACUGAGGUGCGAAAGCGUGGGGAGCAAACAGG